CAGCCGCCACGGGAAUACGGAGGGUGCAAGCGUUAAUCGGAAUUACUGGGCGUAAAGCGCACGCAGGCGGUCUGUCAAGUCGGAUGUGAAAUCCCCGGGCUCAACCUGGGAACUGCAUUCGAAACUGGCAGGCUAGAGUCUUGUAGAGGGGGGUAGAAUUCCAGGUGUAGCGGUGAAAUGCGUAGAGAUCUGGAGGAAUACCGGUGGCGAAGGCGGCCCCCUGGACAAAGACUGACGCUCAGGUGCGAAAGCGUGGGGAGCAAACAGGAUUAGAUACCCCUGUAGUCCCUGUCUCUUAUAA
This 301-nucleotide ribosomal RNA is filed under the name uncultured bacterium. Its description in RNAcentral is "partial 16S ribosomal RNA". It matches the Rfam family "Bacterial small subunit ribosomal RNA", at positions 509 to 809 of the family's 1533-position model. The record is from RNAcentral.